This 31-nucleotide non-coding RNA is filed under the name Mus musculus (house mouse). Lineage: Eukaryota; Metazoa; Chordata; Mammalia; Rodentia; Muridae. The record is from RNAcentral.
UGCGAUUGAGUUAACCAAUAUACAAAAGAGA